RNAcentral lists this ribosomal RNA (405 nucleotides) under uncultured bacterium. RNAcentral's name for it is "partial 16S ribosomal RNA". It matches the Rfam family "Bacterial small subunit ribosomal RNA", at positions 30 to 526 of the family's 1533-position model. The record is from RNAcentral.
AUUGAACGCUAGCGGGAUGCUUUACACAUGCAAGUCGAACGAGUGGCGGACGGGUGAGUAAUAUACCGGAACGUGCCCAGUAGCGGGGGAUAAAUAAACGAAAGAGUGGCUAAUACCGCACAAUAUUGGAGCGGCCGAUAACGGAUUAGUUAGGUGGUGGGGUAAACGCUGACAUGGGCAACGAUCCGUAGCUGGUUUGAGAGGACGACCAGCCACACUGGGACUGCGACACGGCCCAGACUCCUGCGGGAGUGAGCAGUGGGGAAUUUGGGGCAAUGGGGGAGACCCUGAUCCAGCCAUCCCGCGUGUAUGAGAAGGCCUUCGGGUUGUAAAGUACUUUUGGCAGUUAUACGGUAUCUGCAGAAUAAGCACCGGCUAACUACGUGCCAGCAGCCGCGGUAAUAC